AUUGAACGCUGGCGGCAUGCCUUACACAUGCAAGUCGAACGGCAGCGCGGACUUCGGUCUGGCGGCGAGUGGCGAACGGGUGAGUAAUACAUCGGAACGUACCCUGUUGUGGGGGAUAACUAGGCGAAAGAUUAGCUAAUACCGCAUACGACCUGAGGGUGAAAGUGGGGGACCGCAAGGCCUUCCGCAGCAGGAGAGGCCGAUGUCUGAUUAGCUAGUUGGUGGGGUAAAGGCCCACCAAGGCGACGAUCAGUAGCUGGUCUGAGAGGACGAUCAGCCACACUGGGACUGAGACACGGCCCAGACUCCUACGGGAGGCAGCAGUGGGGAAUUUUGGACAAUGGGGGCAACCCUGAUCCAGCAAUGCCGCGUGUGUGAAGAAGGCCUUCGGGUUGUAAAGCACUUUUGUCCGGAAAGAAAUCGCGCUGGUUAAUACCUGGCGUGGAUGACGGUACCGGAAGAAUAAGCACCGGCUAACUACGUGCCAGCAGCCGCGGUAA
RNAcentral lists this ribosomal RNA (500 nucleotides) under uncultured bacterium. RNAcentral's name for it is "partial 16S ribosomal RNA". It matches the Rfam family "Bacterial small subunit ribosomal RNA", at positions 29 to 523 of the family's 1533-position model. The record is from RNAcentral.